UGGGGAAUUUUGGACAAUGGGCGCAAGCCUGAUCCAGCCAUGCCGCGUGUGGGAAGAAGGCCUUCGGGUUGUAAACCACUUUUGUCAGGGAAGAAACGGCCUGAUCUAAUACAUUGGGUUAAUGACGGUACCUGAAGAAUAAGCACCGGCUAACUACGUGCCAGCAGCCGCGGUAAUACGUAGGGUGCGAGCGUUAAUCGGAAUUACUGGGCGUAAAGCGUGCGCAGGCGGCUUUGCAAGACAGAUGUGAAAUCCCCGGGCUCAACCUGGGAACUGCAUUUGUGACUGCAAGGCUAGAGUACGGUAGAGGGGGAUGGAAUUCCGCGUGUAGCAGUGAAAUGCGUAGAUAUGCGGAGGAACACCGAUGGCGAAGGCAAUCCCCUGGACCUGUACUGACGCUCAUGCACGAAAGCGUGGGGAGCAAACAGGAUUAGAUACCCAGGUAGUCCCUGAGCGGGCUGGCAAGGCGCAU
This 472-nucleotide ribosomal RNA is filed under the name uncultured bacterium. RNAcentral's name for it is "bacterial SSU rRNA". It matches the Rfam family "Bacterial small subunit ribosomal RNA", at positions 355 to 825 of the family's 1533-position model. The record is from RNAcentral.